UACGUAGGAUGCAAGCGUUGUCCGGAAUUAUUGGGCGUAAAGAGACCGUAGGCGGCUCGCUAAGUUUGGGCUUAAAGACCGGGGCUUAACUCCGGGAAUGGCUCGAAAACUGGCAGGCUGGAGGACGGAAGAGGGAAGUGGAAUUCCGAGUGUAGCGGUGAAAUGCGUAGAUAUUCGGAGGAACACCAGUGGCGAAAGCGACUUCCUGGUCCGUCUCUGACGCUGAGGGUCGAAAGCUCGGGGAGCAAACAGG
This 253-nucleotide ribosomal RNA is filed under the name uncultured bacterium. RNAcentral's name for it is "partial 16S ribosomal RNA". It matches the Rfam family "Bacterial small subunit ribosomal RNA", at positions 524 to 776 of the family's 1533-position model. The record is from RNAcentral.